RNAcentral lists this ribosomal RNA (467 nucleotides) under Lachnospiraceae bacterium oral taxon A17. RNAcentral's name for it is "bacterial SSU rRNA". It matches the Rfam family "Bacterial small subunit ribosomal RNA", at positions 28 to 497 of the family's 1533-position model. The record is from RNAcentral. Lineage: Bacteria; Bacillati; Bacillota; Clostridia; Lachnospirales; Lachnospiraceae.
GAUGAACGCGGCGGCGUGCUUAACACAUGCAAGUCGAACGAGAGAUACAGGAGGAAGUUUUCGGACGGAAUCCGGUAGAUCGAGUGGCGGACGGGUGAGUAACGCGUGGGGAACCUGCCUCAUACAGGGGGAUAACAGUUGGAAACGACUGUUAAUACCGCAUAAGACCACAGAGUCGCAUGACUCAGGGGUAAAAACUCCGGUGGUAUGAGAUGGACCCGCGUUCGAUUAGCCAGUUGGCGGGGUAACGGCCCACCAAAGCGACGAUCGAUAGCCGAUUUGAGAGAAUGACCGGCCACAUUGGGACUGAGACACGGCCCAAACUCCUACGGGAGGCAGCAGUGGGGAAUAUUGCACAAUGGGGGGAACCCUGAUGCAGCGACGCCGCGUGAGUGAAGAAGUAUUUCGGUAUGUAAAGCUCUAUCAGCAGGGAAGAAGAUGACGGUACCUGAGUAAGAAGCCCCGCA